CCUACGGGUGGCAGCAGUGAGGAAUAUUGGUCAAUGGACGCAAGUCUGAACCAGCCAUGCCGCGUGCAGGAAGACGGCUCUAUGAGUUGUAAACUGCUUUUGUACGAGGGUAAACGCAGAUACGCGUAUCUGUCUGCAAGUAUCGUACUAAUAAGGAUCGGCUAACUCCGUGCCAGCAGCCGCGGUAAUACGGAGGAUUCAAGCGUUAUCCGGAUUUAUUGGGUUUAAAGGGUGCGUAGGCGGUCGGAUAAGUUAGAGGUGAAAUCCCGAGGCUCAACUUCGGAAUUGCCUCUGAUACUGUUCGGCUAGAGAGUAGUUGCGGUAGGCGGAAUGUAUGGUGUAGCGGUGAAAUGCUUAGAGAUCAUACAGAACACCGAUUGCGAAGGCAGCUUACCAAGCUACUUCUGACGUUGAGGCACGAAAGCGUGGGGAGCAAACAGGAUUAGAUACCCCAGUAGUC
Molecule: ribosomal RNA, 460 nt
Filed under: uncultured bacterium
Lineage: Bacteria
Description: partial 16S ribosomal RNA
Rfam family: Bacterial small subunit ribosomal RNA
Source: RNAcentral